This is a non-coding RNA of Schizosaccharomyces pombe (fission yeast), 2301 nucleotides long. Lineage: Eukaryota; Fungi; Ascomycota; Schizosaccharomycetes; Schizosaccharomycetales; Schizosaccharomycetaceae. The record is from the annotation of a GenBank genome assembly.
CUACUACUAUGAAUUUAAUAACCGACCUCUACAUUUGCAAAAAUUGCAAUUAAAUGUUUUUGCUAAUACGAUUUACUGUCGUUAUAAUAGAAUGGGUAUCAAGUAUGUUUACAUUGAAAAUAAUGAUCAAUUUCUUCAUAAAAACGAUAAAGGAGAAGAAGAUAACUUCAGGUACUUUAAUAAAAUGCAAUGCCUACGGCUAAAGCCUAAGGAAGAAUUACCCGGUUCCGUAGGAGAUAAGCAUUAAAUCCGCUAUAAUUCAACAGAAGAUAUGUCAAAAUAAAAUUAUCAUUUUGACCAACGAACUGAUUUAAAAGCUAAAAAGUUGCUCAUUUCAGUCUUAUGCAAUGCAGCGGUUUAAUUUACAAAAUGAUUUCUAUAAAAAAUCGCUGUUUCAAGAUUAAAAUGUUCUACGUGCAAUAAUAUUAUACCAUCAACCUCUAAAUAAGAGAGACAUUAGCAUAUUAAAAAAAAAGAUAGGCAAAAGGAAGCAAAAACUUUAACUGCUCAAGCUAACUGUAUCGCAUUAAAAUGAAAUUUUUCUCCGUUUUUUAUUAGAAGUUUUGGUAACCGUGUUUUCGGUGUUUAGCUUGUGUUUAGACGAUGAAGUUGAUUUCCUCUUGUAUUGCAAAAUAUAGGCCUGUUGAUUCAAAACUCGAUCAAUACUGGAAUUGGAAACGAAAUCAUCGUCAAAUUUAAGCCAAACACCAUUACUACUUUUGCAAAACGAAUAAUAAUGGCCGCUUCGGGUACUUCCGCCUGCAUGUACAAGAACCCCAAUUAAUUCGUACCAACAAGAACAAUUGGGAUCUGACAUAUACGGACCGAGAUUGAAUGAUUCAGGGUAUGAAAUUUGCUUACUGAUUUUGCUAGAUUGGAAACCGUUGAAUGUGAACCGCUUGAAGUGAAUGGUUAAAAUAUUUGGUGCCCGAUAAAUAGUCAUUUGCUUGGACGCAUCCACCAGUUGCUUACAAUUUUCACAUCGAUAUUUGUUUUGUUUGGUAAGUUUUUCUGCAUGCACAAAAUGCUUUAAGGAAUCUGCCAAGGAGGAGCCCUUCGCAUCCACAGAUAAGUCAAGUAAAGCUUGGUAGGUGUUGGAAGGUUUUUUACAAACUGAGCAUAGAAUCUGCUGGCGUAGGUAACCACCAAAAAUUCUGUGUACUACCGAAGUCUCCCUGCUUGGAUGAUCAAGAUUUUUAUGGUUUUGAAGACAAGACUUUUGCCAAGCAUCAACCAAAUAUCGCAUAAAUUCAUGAGCAUCUUCUUGGCGAUAUGGGCGGAAAUGACUGGAAAUUACUUUGAGCAUACUUUGUAUACCUGAAGGUUUGAAGGCCGAAGCUCGUUUGGUGCCUUUGUUGGGAUAGGCACGGGCGACAUGUUGCUCCAUUCUACAGAGUACACAUGCAUUCAUACGGCAGGAUAAAGAAUGUUGACCGGAUAAAAGAUAUUGAACCAACGGUGGAGUUUGAGUCAUCAACUGAAGUACUGAAUUCAUGAAACAAGUAUUACCGAGAUUUACGAGCCCCGGAGCAUUGGGCAUGAUAUUAUCCCAUUCCAUCGACAAUUUUUCUUCGGGAAAUAGAAUGCGAGCCGGAGGUAUAAAAGCAGGAUCCUCAUCCACAAAAUCAUUAGCUCCAUCACCCCUUGUUCCUGAAGAUUUUUUGUAUUCCUGGGAAGAAGAACCAGAACGUUUGUUUCUAGUUGGGGAAGUAGGCGCUGAAAAUGACUUACGGCUAACAGUAGAUUGCUUUGGAUUGUUUAAGACAGUGUAAGUACCUUCAGGAACCGAUGGUGAGGAAACAACCGCGGGACGAAAGCGAACGGGAUUUUUAAGCAAAUCAUCUAGUGAAUGCUUGACUGCAAAAUCUAGUGACUGUCCUUGUAAAGUAGCAAGCGACAUGUCAACAACGGAAUGGAAAAACAACAAGCAAUCAAAAAUUUGAAAUUAUGAAGAAAAAUGUUAGAAAAGAAGAAAAAAAAAAGCUAUCUUUUAAAGCAAGAAACGUAGAAAAGAAGAGUGAUGCUUUUCACAAUUAUCUUCAAGAGCUAUUGUGAACGGAGUAAGCAGUUUGAUGUAAACAAUCAACAAAAACGAAUGUAAACAAACUUAUUCGUGAGUUGUCGAAAAUAAAAACACCAAAAAUAAAAUAAAGCAAAAAAAAAGCGUUCAAUGAGAAAAUUUAAACUCACAAAUUAUUUUGAAAUGACCAGCCACUAUAGGUGUAGUAAAUGAAUUUAGAAAAAAAUAAUGCAAAGGUGGUAAAGCAGACGAAACCGUAGAUAAAGUGAUUAAAAUUACUU